UUAGAAUUAACUUAUCAAAUAAGUAAUCCCAACGGAAAGAGGAAUUGGGUCCAACCAUGUGCUAACAAGGUUAUCAUGAACCCAAUGGAUUUCUCUAAACCCAAUUGACACUUCAUAGGCUUAAUUACUUGUUCCAGGUCUAAUUCCUUUAUUGUGUGACCUUAUAGGUUCAAUUCUAUCUGGUAGUGAGACAUACAAUGAUCUCUAUCAUUGUAUCAUUGAAACUCUUUUCAAUGGAUCGGAAUAAUUCUACUCUAACUCAAUAAGGAUUAUCGAUUCAAAACAAUCUUAGUGAGCUCUCACAAUCCACUAGUGACACCUAGCGGUAUGUAGUGGCAACCCAGUAGAACUAAAACGAAUCUCUAGGUGUAGUUAACAUGUGAUUUAGUCUCUCUAUCGUGAGUCCUGACUAGAUGGCAGGUCAUGGAUAAAUCGUCAAAUUUCAACAUCGGUCAUAUGAUAUAUUCAAUCAGCUUAAGACCAUAUGUGAUUGUAUGAAAAUUUUUUUCUAUCAAUCACACUGCUAUGAUCAUAUAGACUUAAAGACUCAGCCUCUUAAAUCUCAUAAGACUAUUCCCUUCUGCUAGAAUCGAUAGAUUUCAUUUUGAUGCACACCCCACUCCUAUAGUGGACCAACUGUCGCCAACAUCCACUACAAGGGCUCUUUGAGAUCCAUGUUGAUGUGUCAGUCAAACUCCAGCAGCCUCACUGCAAGCAGUAGUGUCAUCUCAGGUCAAAAGACUAGUCAUACAACUGCAGCAUCGAGAAAGUCACUAACGAGUGAGCAGACAUCCAUGUGACUUCUCGUGUUGGUCACGCUCAGUGUUAGUUAUUCUCUAACAACCAUUUGUACUCUCGCUCCAGUGUCUCUACGCUGCAGACUCGAGAUCCAUCUGUCCGAAGGAAGUGAUCCAUGCACUGGUCUAUCCGGAUCAAUCACCAUCUCUGUGAGAUCCUAUGAUCAGGAGCAAUUUAGGAAUCAACUAUCAAUGACAUAUGCUUCAAACUCUCAACUCUUUGAGAAUGUGUCAUCAUCUUGUUAAUCCCUUGGAUAAUUCAUGGACACAGACAUGAAUUGUAAUAUAACUGCCCAAUAAGUACAAAAUCAUGUCUUAGAGAUAUGAAAUGUGUCAGCCAAGAUUGGCUUCUAGGGCAUACAUCCAACAUAUGCUUCUAAGAAAAAUAUCUAAAUCUGAUAUUAGAUGAAUAGCUUAUACAUUUGCAUAGAUUGAACAUAGC
This 1239-nucleotide long non-coding RNA is filed under the name Elaeis guineensis (African oil palm). Its description in RNAcentral is "long non-coding RNA (EGUI_LNC081038)". Lineage: Eukaryota; Viridiplantae; Streptophyta; Magnoliopsida; Arecales; Arecaceae. The record is from RNAcentral.